This 393-nucleotide ribosomal RNA is filed under the name uncultured bacterium. RNAcentral's name for it is "bacterial SSU rRNA". It matches the Rfam family "Bacterial small subunit ribosomal RNA", at positions 505 to 898 of the family's 1533-position model. The record is from RNAcentral.
GUGUCAGCAGCCGCGGUAAUACGGAGGGUGCAAGCGUUGUCCGGAUUUAUUGGGUUUAAAGGGUGCGUAGGCGGGAGUUUAAGUCAGCGGUGAAAGUUCAGGGCUCAACCCUGAAAUUGCCAUUGAUACUGGAUUUCUUGAGUGUCGAUGGGGUACAUGGAAUUUAUGGUGUAGCGGUGAAAUGCAUAGAUACCAUAAGGAACACCGAUAGCGAAGGCAUUGUACUUAUCGAUAACUGACGCUGAGGCACGAAAGCGUGGGUAGCGAACAGGAUUAGAUACCCUGGUAGUCCACGCCGUAAACGAUGAUUACUCGCUGUUAUGCCCUUUGCGGUGUAGUGGCCAAGCGAAAGCGUUAAGUAAUCCACCUGGGGAGUACGCUCGCAAGGGUGAA